AGAGUUUGAUCCUGGCUCAGAACGAACGCUGGCGGCGUGCCUAACACAUGCAAGUCGAACGAGGUAGCAAUACCGAGUGGCGGACGGGUGAGUAAGACAUAGGUGAUCUGCCCUUUUGUGGGGGAUACCCAGCCGAAAGGUUGGCUAAUACCGCAUACGCUCUUUGGUUUAGAGGCCGAAGAGGAAAGAUUUAUCGCAGA
Molecule: ribosomal RNA, 200 nt
Filed under: uncultured bacterium
Lineage: Bacteria
Description: partial 16S ribosomal RNA
Rfam family: Bacterial small subunit ribosomal RNA
Source: RNAcentral